UGGGGAAUAUUGCACAAUGGGCGCAAGCCUGAUGCAGCCAUGCCGCGUGUGUGAAGAAGGCCUUAGGGUUGUAAAGCACUUUCAGCGAGGAGGAAGGUGGUGAGCUUAAUACGCUCAUCAAUUGACGUUACUCGCAGAAGAAGCACCGGCUAACUCCGUGCCAGCAGCCGCGGUAAUACGGAGGGUGCAAGCGUUAAUCGGAAUUACUGGGCGUAAAGCGCACGCAGGCGGUUUGUUAAGUCAGAUGUGAAAUCCCCGGGCUUAACCUGGGAACUGCAUUUGAAACUGGCAAGCUAGAGUCUCGUAGAGGGGGGUAGAAUUCCAGGUGUAGCGGUGAAAUGCGUAGAGAUCUGGAGGAAUACCGGUGGCGAAGGCGGCCCCCUGGACGAAGACUGACGCUCAGGUGCGAAAGCGUGGGGCAGCAAACAGGAUUAGAUACCCUGGUAGUCCACGCUGUAAACGAUGUCGAUUUUGGAGGGUUGUGCCCCUUGAGGCGUGGNUUCCGGAGCUAACGCGUUAAAUGACCGCCUGGGGAGUANGGCCNCAAGGUUAAAACUUAAAUGAAUUGCGGGUCU
RNAcentral lists this ribosomal RNA (575 nucleotides) under uncultured bacterium. RNAcentral describes it as "partial 16S ribosomal RNA". It matches the Rfam family "Bacterial small subunit ribosomal RNA", at positions 355 to 919 of the family's 1533-position model. The record is from RNAcentral.